Drosophila biarmipes is the source of this 692-nucleotide long non-coding RNA. RefSeq lists it as uncharacterized. Lineage: Eukaryota; Metazoa; Arthropoda; Insecta; Diptera; Drosophilidae. The record is from RefSeq and is a predicted model, not a curated record. The transcript has 3 exons.
GUUGGCCAUGGCGGGAUGACGAAGACCUUGGAGAUUCUGCGACGCCAGUUAUAUUAACCAGGUAUGACUAUUCAGGUGCGUGAAUACGUCCAGGCUUGCGAUGUGUGUAAAGAGUCCAAAGUUCAGGAUGCAUGUCGGAAUCAGAAGAAGGGUAGAGACAGAAAGGCUAUUUCAGAAGCUAUACAUUUUCUGGGCAAGUAUCCGAGGUCCAUGAGUGGGCACGCUUGGAUAUUCAUCGUGGUGGACCUCUCUUCUUGAGAACAAUGAAGAAGGCGAUGGCGCCGAACAUAGUGAAUUUAAUGGUGAACGAGGUAUUUUACAAGUUUGGAGUGCUUGAGACGAUUCAUUCGGACAACGGUAAGCAGUUCGUAUCCAAGGCGUUUGGGGGCUUCGGUAUACAGCACCUGAAGACUACGUUAUAGUCACCACAGAGCAACGCCGCGGAAAGAGUAAACAGGAACCUCUUGGGCUUGAGGAUUAAUCCCGGUUUUCUCUAAGAUUACCUUAAAAGGCACUCAUGUGUCCAAUGACCCAAUUUAGGGAGAGGCCAUGUAAAAAAAAGCUAAGAUGAUUAGCAGAAAUUGGUAUAGUCGCCAAACCAUGCAGCUAGAAGUUCUAAGUUAUGUUUUGUGCCUAAAAUUAAAUAAAUGGCGAACGGGGUCCCGACACAAAGUGCCCCGUGAGAUUUACUU